GGGCGCGUAGCUCAGUUGGUUAGAGCAGAACGCUCAUAACGUUUUGGUCGCAGGUUCGAGUCCUGCCGCGCCUACCA
RNAcentral lists this transfer RNA (77 nucleotides) under Paracoccaceae bacterium. Its description in RNAcentral is "Rhodobacteraceae bacterium tRNA-Met". It matches the Rfam family "tRNA". From Rfam's summary of the family: Transfer RNA (tRNA) molecules are approximately 80 nucleotides in length. Their secondary structure includes four short double-helical elements and three loops (D, anti-codon, and T loops). Lineage: Bacteria; Pseudomonadati; Pseudomonadota; Alphaproteobacteria; Rhodobacterales; Paracoccaceae. The record is from RNAcentral.